UGGGGAAUCUUGCACAAUGGACGAAAGUCUGAUGCAGCAACGCCGCGUGGGGGAUGAAGCUUCUCGGAGUGUAAACCCCUUUCGACCCGGAAGAAUGCCCGCAAGGGUUUGACGGUACGGGUAUAAGAAGCCCCGGCUAACUACGUGCCAGCAGCCGCGGUAAUACGUAGGGGGCCAGCGUUGCUCGGAAUUACUGGGCGUAAAGGGUCCGUAGGCGGUGCGGCAAGUCGAGAGUGAAAUCCCUAGGCUUAACCUAGGGGCUGCUAGCGAAACUGCCGUGCUAGAGUGUGAGAGAGGCGAGUGGAAUUACGGGUGUAGCGGUGAAAUGCGUAGAUAUCCGUAGGAACAUCCGAGGCGAAAACGGCUCGCUGGAUCACAACUGACGCUGAGAGACGAAAGCUAGGGGAGCAAACAGGAUUAGAUACCCUGGUAGUCCUAGCCCUAAACCAUCAGGACUUGGGGUUUGCCCUGUACGGGGCAAGUCCCGUAGCUAACGCGUUAAGUCCUGCGCCUGGGGAGUACGGUCGCAAGGCUG
This 535-nucleotide ribosomal RNA is filed under the name uncultured bacterium. Its description in RNAcentral is "bacterial SSU rRNA". It matches the Rfam family "Bacterial small subunit ribosomal RNA", at positions 355 to 896 of the family's 1533-position model. The record is from RNAcentral.